RNAcentral lists this unclassified non-coding RNA (405 nucleotides) under Hevea brasiliensis (rubber tree). Lineage: Eukaryota; Viridiplantae; Streptophyta; Magnoliopsida; Malpighiales; Euphorbiaceae. The record is from RNAcentral.
UAUAUACACACUUAGAUUUCCGAGGACAAAAAUGGAAAAACUAAACCAAUGGAGGUUAUAUGAAGAAUGAUUCAUCACCUCAUUAUUACAUUCUUUCCAUAAGUGCUGAAUGUAUUGGAUCGUUUAAUGUUAGGUGAAGUGAUAGAUAGUUAUGUGGAAUUGUGGUUAGCCGGUGUGCACGUAUCUUUUUACAAGAUUAUGAGGACAAGAAGUGCAGCAACUGCUCAUUUAUGAAUAUUAGCUUUAAGGUUGGCGCAAGACACCAAAACAAAACAGUAUAUACAUAUAGAGAGAGAGUCUUUGUUAUGGAACACUCUUUAGUGAGGAAAGGUGCAUGGGGUCAUGAGGAAGACGAGCUUCUGAGAAAGUGCAUUCAGAAAUAUGGAGAAGGCAGAUGGCAUCUAG